CAAAGAUUAAGCCAUGCAUGUCUGAGUGCAGCCUUCAAAAAUGGUGAAACCGCGAAUGGCUCAUUAAAUCAGUUAUGGUUCAUUAGGUUGUGAACGUAUACACGGUACUUGGAUAACUGUGGUAAUUCUAGAGCUAAUACAUGCAACAUGCGUUCGCUAGCGGGCAGGCGGUUCCAUCCGCGUGGUUCCGUCGCGCCUCUGGCGCUACGCGCAUUUAUUAGACAAACCGUGUGGCCGUGCGGGCUUCGGCACGCGCAGGUCGACUCAUGUACGGUGAUGAGCUCUGUUUAACCCAGCCGAUCGUUCAGGCUUCUAUGCCGGCGACGAUCCUUUCAAGUGUCUGCCCUAUCAACUUUCGAUGGCAGGUUAUGCGCCUACCAUGGUUGUAACGGGUAACGGGGAAUCAGGGUUCGAUUCCGGAGAGGGAGCCCGAGAAACGGCUACCACAUCCAAGGAAGGCAGCAGGCGCGCAAAUUACCCACUCUCGGAACGAGGAGGUAGUGACGAAAAAUAACAAUACGGGACUCUCUUGAGGCUCCGUAAUUGGAAUGAGUACACUGUAAAUCCUUUAACGAGGACCUACUGGAGGGCAAGUCUGGUGCCAGCAGCCGCGGUAAUUCCAGCUCCAGUGGCAUAUAUUAAAGUUGUUGCGGUUAAAAAGCUCGUAGUCGAAACAUUACGUUCAUGGGAACAGGUGCUAUGUACUGCACCGCCUCCCACGAUCGCUAAUACAGAUGGUCCGUCCGUUGUUCUCUUCAUUGGGAGCUUCGGGUGGCUAUCGCAUGUCACUUUGAUUAAAUUAAAGUGCUCAAAGCAGUCUUCGUGACUGCAUAUCAGUGCAUGGAAUGACGGAGCACGUUGCUGUUCUGUUUGUUGGUUUUCGAAAUAGCAAAAUGGUCGAGAGGGACAGCCGGGGGCACUCGUAUUGCGGCGUGAGAGGUGAAAUUCUUGGACCGUCGCAAGACGAACAACAGCGAAAGCAUUUGCCAAGAAUGUUUUCAUUGAUCAAGAACGAAAGUUAGAGGUUCGAAGGCGAUCAAAUACCGCCCUAGUUCUAACCAUAAACGAUGUCAACCAGCAAUCCGCCCGAGUUCUAUUAACGACUCGGCGGGCAGCCCCGGGAAACCAAAGUUUGGUUCCGGGGGAAGUAUGGUUGCAAAACUGAAACUUAANGNNNNNNNNNNNNNNGCACCACCAGGAGUGGAUCCUGCGGCUUAAUUUGACUCAACACGGGAAAACUUACCCGGCCCGGACACUGGGAGGAUUGACAGAUUGAUAGCUCUUUCUUGAUUCGGUGGAUGGUGGUGCAUGGCCGUUCUUAGUUGGUGGAGCGAUCUGUCUGGUUAAUUCCGAUAACGAACGAGACUCUAGCAUAUUAAAUAGAGGCGGGAAUCAUUUUGAGUGCAGCCCGCUCUCUUCUUAGAGGUACAAGGUGCUCUUAGCACCACGAAACGGAGCAAUAACAGGUCUGUGAUGCCCUGCGAUGUCCGGGGCCGCACGCGCGCUACACUGAAGGAGGCAGCGUGUCGAGUUCCUUGUCCUACGGGACUGGGCAACCCGAGGAACUUCCUUCAUGAUUGGGAUAGGGGCUUGCAAUUGUGCCCCUUCAACGAGGAAUUCCCAGUAAACACUAGUCAUCAGCUAGUGCUGAUUACGUCCCUGCCCUUUGUACACACCGCCCGUCGCUACUACCGAUUGAAUGGUUUANUGAGGCCUUCNUACCGGUCCUUUUGAGCGGCCUCCCGAGCUUAAGGACUGGAAAGAUANCCNAACUUGAUCAUUUNANGAAGUAAAAGUC
RNAcentral lists this ribosomal RNA (1798 nucleotides) under Discozercon sp. AL5498. Its description in RNAcentral is "SSU rRNA". It matches the Rfam family "Eukaryotic small subunit ribosomal RNA". Lineage: Eukaryota; Metazoa; Arthropoda; Arachnida; Mesostigmata; Discozerconidae. The record is from RNAcentral.